GAAGCGGGCAUGCCGGAGGUUGGAAGUGGCCCAGGACGGGGGCUGCCCCCAGGUGAAGGCGCGCCCCCCCGAGUCCUGGGGCAGCCGGGAGCCCGAGUCACCGGACAGAGGCCGCCUCCCCGCACCGAGGCCGGACGGCGGCCAGGGGCGACCAGGUGUGGAGAGUCUACGGAUCGGUGGAAGGAGCCCGGCCCAGCCUUGCCCGAGGUGCCUCGCCGGGGAGUCCGGACACUUUAACCACACCGAGAAUCGGUAGAAGACGCAGGUUGAAAAGGAAGAUUCCAUCUGUGGUUUUGGACCCUCUGUGCUAGCGGAUGUCACCCCCCCUGGAGGCGUGUGGGUGCCCCCGUCCACAGGGCAGCCGCUGUCCCCAGCCGUGGGUCUCCGCCGUCCUCCACGCCAGAGCCGGCAGCCCCUGUCACUUCAGAAGCACCGCCACGUGGAACUGCUCACCGAGCCUCCUUUCAAGGGCAUCUUGCUUGAGAAGGAGAUCAGUUGCAUUGUUUAAAAGUUUAAAAAAUUCAGUAUCACGCUUCCUGUGAGGUUCGAGGACCCUGUGGCUCAUGGAAGCGUAUCCAGAUGCAGCUCCGUUUUAUACUUUUCUAUCAUUUGGUGGACACACCCAGGUCUUCUCAUGUCCUCUUUUUUAAUGAAAAGUCCUAUUUUUGUAUUCAGAAUGCUCUGUAAUCUUAAAUUGCAUUUUAGUAAAUACCGCACUCCGGUCUGUUGUGUGUGAUUCCGCAGCUGGAGUUGUCAGGCACAGGCCCACUUCUGUAUUAAAAUGGAAGUUUCUCCUUUUCUCUUGGGUUUCGGCGUGUCGUCUGCCUGUGGAGGCUGUGGCCUUGUUCCCUGGGUCUGCAGGUCGCCUGGACACAGGUCCUGGCAAAACCGCUGGGCUAUAGGUUUUGCUCUCGGGUCCUUUCCUAGACAAGCUCCUGCUCUACGUGUGUCCCAGUGUUUCCACGGGGCCGGGUUCCCUGCCAGAGACCGACCCAAAACACGCGGUUCCAUAAGCAGCCCGGGGGGUCACGGAGGAGCUUCGUCCAGGAAGGACGGCCGGGAGGAGACAGGGCGUUGGCAUUAACAGUGCCAUUUGUGUGGAUGGUCCAGGCACAGGGCACGUCGCCAGGCAGCGGGACAGACUGACUUUUCUGCCCCCAGGGUCCUUGAGGGGCUCCGGACAUCUCACCCCAGUAAGAUCGCAGAGCUGUGACGUGAUGAGGAGAUGCCGGUCAAGGCUGAUGGGGAGAAAGGGUUGAGAUUCAUGGCCUUAAAAAUACAUUUUUAAAGAG
Molecule: long non-coding RNA, 1292 nt
Filed under: Sus scrofa (pig)
Lineage: Eukaryota; Metazoa; Chordata; Mammalia; Artiodactyla; Suidae
Description: lncRNA (ENSSSCG00015059369.1)
Source: RNAcentral